GACGAACGCUGGCGGCGUGCCUAAUACAUGCAAGUCGAACGAUAUCGACCGGCGCUUGCACUGACCAAUCUACUGGCGAACGGCUGAUUAACACUCGGGUUACCUGCCCAUCAUAGGGCGAUAACAUUCGGAAACGGAUGCUAAAACCUCAUAGGUUCUACUGUCACAUGACUGAAGAAUGAAAAGGAGGCUUCAUGCUUCUGCUGAUGGAUGGACCCGACGUGCAUUAACUAGUUGGCGAGGUAACGGCUCACCAAGGCCGCGAUGAAUAACCUACCUGAGAUGGUGAUCGGCCACAUUGCCACUGACACACGGCCCACACUCCUACGGAAUGUCGCACUAUGGAAUCUUCUCGCAAUGCACCCAUGUCUGACGGAGCAUCACCGCCCUAGUGAAUAAGGAUUUCUUUUCGUAAAACUCUGUUGCUCCAUAAUAACAGCGCUUAAAGUAACUGUUAUACUUGUGACCGUAUCUCUCCAUAACGCCACGCCUAACUACAUGCCAGAUCCCACGGUAAUACGUAAGCGGUGAGCUUUGUCCGGAUUUAUUGGGCUUAAAGCGAGCGCAGGCAGACAAUUUCGUCUGAUGUGAAAGCCCCCCGCUCAACCGGUGAAGGUCAUUGGAUACUGGUUGACUUGAAUGCAUAAUAUGACAGUGAAAUUCCAUGUGUAGCGGUGAAAUGCUUAGAUAUAUGGAGGAACACCAGUGGCGAAGGCGACUCUCUGGUCUGUUACUGACGCUGAGGCCCGAAAGCGUGGGUAGCAAACAGGAUUAGAUACCCUGGUAGUCCACGCCGUAAACGAUGAGUGAUAACUGUUGGAGGGUUUCCGCCCUUCAGUGCUGCAGUUAAAGCAUUUAGCACUCCCCCUGGGGAGUACGGCCGCAAGGUUGAAACUCAAAGGAAUUGACGGGGACCCGCACAAGCGGUGGAGCAUGUGGUUUAAUUUGAAGCAUCGCGAAGAACCUUACCAAGUCUUGACAUCUUUAGACCACUGUAGAGAUAGAGCUUUCCCUUAGGGGACAAAGUGACAGGUGGUACAGGGUGUUGAUCAUCUCGUGUCGUGAGAUGUUGGGUUAAGUCAUGCAGAGAGCGCAACCUUUAUUUAUAGUCCCCAGCAUUAAGUUGGGCACUCUAGUGAGACUGCCGGUGCCAAACCGGAGGAAGGUGGGGAUGACGUCAAAUCAUCAUGCCCCUUAUGACUUGGGCUACACACGUGCUACAAUGGAUGGUACAGAGAGCAGCGAACUCGUGAGGGUAAGCGAAUCUAUUAAACCCAUUAUCAGUUGGGUUGGUAUGUUGCAAUUGGCUUACAGGAAGCGGGAAUCGUUAGUAUCCGAGAACAACCAUGACCCGGUGAAUACGUUCCCGGGUCU
RNAcentral lists this ribosomal RNA (1374 nucleotides) under uncultured bacterium. RNAcentral describes it as "partial 16S ribosomal RNA". It matches the Rfam family "Bacterial small subunit ribosomal RNA", at positions 28 to 1381 of the family's 1533-position model. The record is from RNAcentral.